AUUAGAGUUUGAUCAUGGCUCAGGAUGAACGCUGGCGGCGUGUUUAAGGCAUGCAAGUCGUGGGACGGUCCCGAGCAAUCGGGAUACGGACCGGCAAACGGGUGAGUAACACAUUGGUAACCUACCUCCGAGUCGGGGAUAGCUCGCCGAAAGGCGAAUUAAUACCCGAUAGUAAUGCGGGGACAAAAGUCAUUCGCAUUUAAACCCGCAAGGGGCUGGGAGAGGGGCCUAUGUCUGAUUAGCUAGUUGGUAGGGUAAUGGCCUACCAAGGCUGUGAUCAGUAGCAGGCGUGAGAGCGUGACCUGCCUCACUGGGACUGAGAUACUGCCCAGACACCUACGGGUGGCUGCAGUCAAGAAUAUUCCUCAAUGGGCGAAAGCCUGAAGGAGCGACGCCGCGUGUAGGAUGAAGGUUUUCGGAUUGUAAACUACUUUUAUAUGGGACGAAUUCGUGACGGUACCAUAUGAAUAAGAGGUUGCUAACUCUGUGCCAGCCGCCGCGGUAAUACA
RNAcentral lists this ribosomal RNA (509 nucleotides) under uncultured bacterium. Its description in RNAcentral is "bacterial SSU rRNA". It matches the Rfam family "Bacterial small subunit ribosomal RNA", at positions 1 to 527 of the family's 1533-position model. The record is from RNAcentral.